This 391-nucleotide unclassified non-coding RNA is filed under the name soil metagenome. RNAcentral describes it as "partial contains 5.8S ribosomal RNA, internal transcribed spacer 2, and large subunit ribosomal RNA". The stretch from base 1 to 122 matches the Rfam family "5.8S ribosomal RNA", at positions 35 to 154 of the family's 154-position model. The record is from RNAcentral.
GAUGAAGAACGCAGCGAAAUGCGAUACUUGGUGUGAAUUGCAGAAUCCCGUGAACCAUCGAGUCUUUGAACGCAAGUUGCGCCCGAAGCCAUUAGGCCGAGGGCACGCCUGCCUGGGCGUCACACGUCGUUGCCCCCCCAUCUACUCCUUCGGGAUUGCGGGGGGCGGAUGAUGGCCUCCCGUGCGCCUCGCCGCGCGGUUGGCAUAAAUGCCAAGUCCUCGGCGACGCACGCCACGACAAUCGGUGGUUGCGAAACCUCGGUUGCCUGUCGUGUGCGGUCGUCGCGCAUCGAGGGCUCGAAAAAAUUGCCGGGCUUCGGCUCGACUUUCAACGCGACCCCAGGUCAGGCGGGGUUACCCGCUGAAUUUAAGCAUAUCAAUAAGCGGAGGA